CCUACGGGCGGCAGCAGUGAGGAAUAUUGGUCAAUGGACGAGAGUCUGAACCAGCCAAGUAGCGUGAAGGAUGACUGCCCUAUGGGUUGUAAACUUCUUUUAUAUGGGAAUAAAACGUUCCACGUGUGGGAUUUUGUAUGUACCAUAUGAAUAAGGAUCGGCUAACUCCGUGCCAGCAGCCGCGGUAAUACGGAGGAUCCGAGCGUUAUCCGGAUUUAUUGGGUUUAAAGGGGGCGUAGGUGGAUUGUUAAGUCAGUUGUGAAAGUUUGCGGCUCAACCGUAAAAUUGCAGUUGAAACUGGCAGUCUUGAGUACAGUAGAGGUGGGCGGAAUUCGUGGUGUAGCGGUGAAAUGCUUAGAUAUCACGAAGAACUCCGAUUGCGAAGGCAGUUCACUGGACUGCAACUGACACUGAGGCUCGAAAGUGUGGGUAUCAAACAGGAUUAGAUACCCCUGUAGUC
RNAcentral lists this ribosomal RNA (460 nucleotides) under uncultured bacterium. Its description in RNAcentral is "partial 16S ribosomal RNA". It matches the Rfam family "Bacterial small subunit ribosomal RNA", at positions 338 to 795 of the family's 1533-position model. The record is from RNAcentral.